RNAcentral lists this ribosomal RNA (136 nucleotides) under uncultured bacterium. RNAcentral describes it as "partial 16S ribosomal RNA". It matches the Rfam family "Bacterial small subunit ribosomal RNA", at positions 355 to 485 of the family's 1533-position model. The record is from RNAcentral.
UAGGGAAUUUUCGUUCAAUGGGCGCAAGCCUGAACGAGCAAUGCCGCGUGAGUGAGGAAGGCCUUCGGUCGUAAAGCUCUGUUGCGAGGGAAAAGGAACGGAAGAGGAAAUGAUUCCGUUUGAUGGUACCUCGCCA